RNAcentral lists this ribosomal RNA (162 nucleotides) under Opuntia vaseyi. RNAcentral's name for it is "5.8S ribosomal RNA". It matches the Rfam family "5.8S ribosomal RNA". Rfam says of the family: 5.8S ribosomal RNA (5.8S rRNA) is a component of the large subunit of the eukaryotic ribosome. It is transcribed by RNA polymerase I as part of the 45S precursor that also contains 18S and 28S rRNA. Functionally, it is thought that 5.8S rRNA may be involved in ribosome translocation. Lineage: Eukaryota; Viridiplantae; Streptophyta; Magnoliopsida; Caryophyllales; Cactaceae. The record is from RNAcentral.
AACGACUCUUGGCAACGGAUAUCUCGGCUCUCGCAUCGAUGAAGAACGUAGCGAAAUGCGAUACUUGGUGUGAAUUGCAGAAUCCCGUGAACCAUCGAGUCUUUGAACGCAAGUUGCGCCCAAAGCCUUCCGGCCGAGGGCACGUCUGCCUGGGCGUCACGC